CUGGCUCAGGAUGAACGCUGGCGGCGUGCCUAACACAUGCAAGUCGAGCGAGGAGAUAAGAGCUUGCUCUUUGAUCUUAGCGGCGGACGGGUGAGUAACGCGUGGGUAACCUGCCCUAUACACAUGGAUAACAUACCGAAAGGUAUGCUAAUACAAGAUAAUACUAAGAUAAGGCAU
Molecule: ribosomal RNA, 177 nt
Filed under: Tepidibacter formicigenes DSM 15518
Lineage: Bacteria; Bacillati; Bacillota; Clostridia; Peptostreptococcales; Peptostreptococcaceae
Description: 16S rRNA. Bacterial SSU
Rfam family: Bacterial small subunit ribosomal RNA
Source: RNAcentral